Non-coding RNA from Pelobates cultripes (western spadefoot toad), 517 nucleotides. The record is from the annotation of a GenBank genome assembly. Lineage: Eukaryota; Metazoa; Chordata; Amphibia; Anura; Pelobatidae.
CUAGCUAGCUUUUCUGGUACUCACACUCGGCAGCUAUUUACUGUCUAUAUAUUUUACUUUUUUUUUACAAGACUACACUACAAGCCUGAUCUAGAUCUACUUCCUUAUCAUGUUUAUUAGCCUGUCAUUCUAACUAUAAAAAUUGUGCAUGUUUGCUCUAGACAUGUGCAAUUCGUUUCGUUCCGAAGGUAAAUUCGGAUGCUUCCGGAUGUCCGAAUUGCCGAAUUUUGGAAGUACCGAACCGAAUUGCCAAAGUGCUCCAGAUUUCUGAAAAGUGGCAAAACAAGAGCGGGAGGGAAAAUUACAACAAUCUACCCCUAACCUCCACAACCACUUCACCUUUAGGGUUAGGGAAUUGCUGAAGUCCUGAAUUUCGGAAGUGCCAAACCGAUCCAAAUUUUUUGUCCAUGCACAUCCCUACUUCUCUCCAAAUGCCUUACCACGUGUAAGUUAUGUAUUUUGUUGUUCUUGUCAUUGGCUGUCGUGACAUGACUAUACUGUUUGUAUCCCUCUGCAC